GACGAACGCUGGCGGCGUGCCUAAUACAUGCAAGUCGAGCGGACCACUUCGGUGGUGAGCGGCGAACGGGUGAGUAACACGUAGGUGAUCUGCCCAUCAGACGGGGACAACGAUUGGAAACGAUCGCUAAUACCGGAUAGGACGAAAGUUUAAAGGUGCUUCUAACACCGCUGAUGGAUGAGCCUGCGGCGCAUUAGCUAGUUGGUAGGGUAAAGGCCUACCAAGGCGACGAUGCGUAGCCGACCUGAGAGGGUGAACGGCCACACUGGGACCGAGACACGGCCCAGACUCCUACGGGAGGCAGCAGUAGGGAAUCUUCGGCAAUGGGCGGAAGCCUGACCGGGCAACGCCGCGUGAAUGAUGAAGGCCUUCGGGUUGUAAAAUUCUGUUAUAAGGGAAGAACGACUUUAGUAGGAAAUGGCUAGAGUGUGACGGUACCUUAUGAGAAAGCCACGGCUAACUACGUGCCAGCAGCCGCGGUAA
Molecule: ribosomal RNA, 483 nt
Filed under: uncultured bacterium
Lineage: Bacteria
Description: partial 16S ribosomal RNA
Rfam family: Bacterial small subunit ribosomal RNA
Source: RNAcentral